Molecule: ribosomal RNA, 446 nt
Filed under: uncultured bacterium
Lineage: Bacteria
Description: partial 16S ribosomal RNA
Rfam family: Bacterial small subunit ribosomal RNA
Source: RNAcentral
CCUACGGGGGGCUGCAGUCGAGAAUCAUUCACAAUGGGGGAAACCCUGAUGGGGCGACGCCGCGUGGGGGAAUGAAGGUCUGCGGAUUGUAAACCCCUGUCAUGUGGGAGCAAAUUAAAAAGAUAGUACCACAAGAGGAAGAGACGGCUAACUCUGUGCCAGCAGCCGCGGUAAUACAGAGGUCUCAAGCGUUGUUCGGAAUCACUGGGCGUAAAGCGUGCGUAGGCUGUUUCGUAAGUCGUGUGUGAAAGGCGCGGGCUCAACCCGCGGACGGCACAUGAUACUGCGAGACUAGAGUAAUGGAGGGGGAACCGGAAUUCUCGGUGUAGCAGUGAAAUGCGUAGAUAUCGAGAGGAACACUCGUGGCGAAGGCGGGUUCCUGGACAUUAACUGACGCUGAGGCACGAAGGCCAGGGGAGCGAAAAGGAUUAGAUACCCCGGUAGUC